Molecule: ribosomal RNA, 960 nt
Filed under: Triticum aestivum (bread wheat)
Lineage: Eukaryota; Viridiplantae; Streptophyta; Magnoliopsida; Poales; Poaceae
Description: partial small subunit ribosomal RNA
Source: RNAcentral
AUGGGUGACCCGCCUCACCUCAUCUGGCACGGGAGGGAAGAGAGCCUCCGCUGCCGCCAUCAGCCGCCUGGGGCUUUGCCCGGCGACCUCCUCUGGCGGCGGCGGAGGGAAGGGGAAGGAUGGACGUGCCUGGCGGCGGCAGCUAGGGUUUUCACCCGAGCCGCCCUAGCGGGAGGGCGACGAGGGCCGUUGGACCUGAUAAAAAAUGACCAGGUGCAGGCCAUCAUCGGGCCCAAGACAUCGGCGGAGGCGGAGUUCGUCGCCCAUCUCGGCAGCGGCGCCCACGUCCCCGUGCUCUCCUACUCUGCCACCUCCCCGUCUCUCUCCCCGGCGCAGACGCCGUACUUCGUGCGCACCGCCGCCAACGACUCCUUCCAGGCCACCCCCGUCGCUGCCGUCCUCGCAAGCUUCGGGUGGCGCGCCGUGACCGUCCUGCACGAGGACUCCCCGUACGGCGCCGGCAUCCUCCCGGCGCUCGCCGACGCGCUCCAGAGCGUAGAUGGCGCGGCGAUCGUGGACCGCGUGGCUGUGCCGAGCGGCGCGGACGAAGACGCCCUCGACGCGCUGCUCUACCGCCUCAGGGCGAUGCCAACGCGCGUGUUCGUCGUGCACGCGACGCAUGACCUCGCCGUGCGGCUCUUCCGGCGGGCGAGUAAGGCCGGGAUGAUGUCCGGCGGCUACGCCUGGGUUGCCGCCGACGGCGUCGGCAGCUUCCUGGACAGGUUCGACCCCGAGGACCUCGACUUCAUGCAGGGCGUCGUCAGCCUCCGGCCUCACGUGAAGUACACGAAGCAAGUCAAGAACUUCUCUGCGCGGUUCAGGGCAAGGUUCCGGAGGAAGAACCCGGCCUCCGACGAUGACCUCCUCAACGACGCGACCGUGAUCAGGCUCUGGUCGUACGACACGGCCUGGGCGAUCGCCGCGGCGGCUGAGGUGGCCAGCGUACCCGGACCGUGUUAG